This 468-nucleotide ribosomal RNA is filed under the name uncultured bacterium. Its description in RNAcentral is "partial 16S ribosomal RNA". It matches the Rfam family "Bacterial small subunit ribosomal RNA", at positions 28 to 507 of the family's 1533-position model. The record is from RNAcentral.
GACGAACGCUGGCGGCGUGCUUAACACAUGCAAGUCGAACGGAAAGGCCCUGCUUUUGUGGGGUGCUCGAGUGGCGAACGGGUGAGUAACACGUGAGUAACCUGCCCUUGACUUUGGGAUAACUUCAGGAAACUGGGGCUAAUACCGGAUAGGAGCUCCUGCUGCAUGGUGGGGGUUGGAAAGUUUCGGCGGUUGGGGAUGGACGCGCGGCUUAUCAGCUUGUUGGUGGGGUAGUGGCUUACCAAGGCUUUGACGGGUAGCCGGCCUGAGAGGGUGACCGGCCACAUUGGGACUGAGAUACGGCCCAGACUCCUACGGGAGGCAGCAGUGGGGAAUAUUGCACAAUGGGCGGAAGCCUGAUGCAGCAACGCCGCGUGCGGGAUGACGGCCUUCGGGUUGUAAACCGCUUUCGCCUGGGACGAAGCGUGAGUGACGGUAAUGGGUAAAGAAGCACCGGCUAACUACGUG